RNAcentral lists this ribosomal RNA (433 nucleotides) under uncultured bacterium. Its description in RNAcentral is "partial 16S ribosomal RNA". It matches the Rfam family "Bacterial small subunit ribosomal RNA", at positions 29 to 507 of the family's 1533-position model. The record is from RNAcentral.
AACGAACGCUGGCGGCAUGCCUAACACAUGCAAGUCGAACGAGACCUUCGGGUCUAGUGGCGCACGGGUGCGUAACGCGUGGGAACCUGCCCUUAGGUUCGGAAUAACUCCCCGAAAGGGGUGCUAAUACCGGAUAAUGUCUUCGGACCAAAGAUUUAUCGCCUUUGGAUGGGCCCGCGUUGGAUUAGCUAGUUGGUAGGGUAAAAGCCUACCAAGGCGACGAUCCAUAGCUGGUCUGAGAGGAUGAUCAGCCACACUGGGACUGAGACGCGGCCCAGACUCCUACGGGAAGCAGCAGUGGGGAAUAUUGGACAAUGGGCGAAAGCCUGAUCCAGCAAUGCCGCGUGAGUGAUGAAGGCCUUAGGGUUGUAAAGCUCUUUUACCCGGGAUGAUAAUGACAGUACCGGGAGAAUAAGCUCCGGCUAACUCCGUG